This 75-nucleotide transfer RNA is filed under the name Promethearchaeota archaeon. RNAcentral describes it as "Candidatus Lokiarchaeota archaeon tRNA-Arg". It matches the Rfam family "tRNA". Rfam says of the family: Transfer RNA (tRNA) molecules are approximately 80 nucleotides in length. Lineage: Archaea; Promethearchaeati; Promethearchaeota. The record is from RNAcentral.
GGGCCUAUAGCCAAGCCUGGAUAUGGCGUCGGACUUCUAAUCCGAAGAUCGCAGGUUCGAAUCCUGCUAGGCCCG